RNAcentral lists this ribosomal RNA (396 nucleotides) under Pediococcus pentosaceus. RNAcentral describes it as "bacterial SSU rRNA". The record is from RNAcentral. Lineage: Bacteria; Bacillati; Bacillota; Bacilli; Lactobacillales; Lactobacillaceae.
AUUGAUUAUGACGUACUUGUACUGAUUGAGAUUUUAACACRAAGUGAGUGGCGAACGGGUGAGUAACACGUGGGUAACCUGCCCAGAAGUAGGGGAUAACACCUGGAAACAGAUGCUAAUACCGUAUAACAGAGAAAACCGCAUGGUUUUCUUUUAAAAGAUGGCUCUGCUAUCACUUCUGGAUGGACCCGCGGCGUAUUAGCUAGUUGGUGAGGUAAAGGCUCACCAAGGCAGUGAUACGUAGCCGACCUGAGAGGGUAAUCGGCCACAUUGGGACUGAGACACGGCCCAGACUCCUACGGGAGGCAGCAGUAGGGAAUCUUCCACAAUGGACGCAAGUCUGAUGGAGCAACGCCGCGUGAGUGAAGAAGGGUUUCGGCUCGUAAAGCUCUGUUG